GGUGGCUUAGUGGUAGAGAGCUUGCCUUGCAUGCAUGAGGCCCUGGGUUCAAUUCCUCAGCACCA
RNAcentral lists this transfer RNA (65 nucleotides) under Dipodomys ordii (Ord's kangaroo rat). It matches the Rfam family "tRNA". Rfam says of the family: Transfer RNA (tRNA) molecules are approximately 80 nucleotides in length. Their secondary structure includes four short double-helical elements and three loops (D, anti-codon, and T loops). Further hydrogen bonds mediate the characteristic L-shaped molecular structure. tRNAs have two regions of fundamental functional importance: the anti-codon, which is responsible for specific mRNA codon recognition, and the 3' end, to which the tRNAs corresponding amino acid is attached (by aminoacyl-tRNA synthetases). tRNAs cope with the degeneracy of the genetic code in two manners: having more than one tRNA (with a specific anti-codon) for a particular amino acid; and 'wobble' base-pairing, i.e. permitting non-standard base-pairing at the 3rd anti-codon position. The record is from Rfam by way of RNAcentral. Lineage: Eukaryota; Metazoa; Chordata; Mammalia; Rodentia; Heteromyidae.